AACGCUAGCUACAGGCUUAACACAUGCAAGUCGAGGGGCAGCAUGGACUCAGCUUCGCUGAGUUUGAUGGCGACCGGCGCACGGGUGAGUAACGCGUAUCCAACCUGCCCUUUACUCCGGGAUAGUCUCCUGAAAGGGAGUUUAAUACCGGAUGUGUUUGUCUUUCCGCAUGGGAGCGACAAAUAAAGAUUGAUUGGUAAAGGAUGGGGAUGCGUCCCAUUAGCUGGUUGGCGGGGUAACGGCCCACCAAGGCGACGAUGGGUAGGGGUUCUGAGAGGAAGGUCCCCCACAUUGGAACUGAGACACGGUCCAAACUCCUACGGGAGGCAGCAGUGAGGAAUAUUGGUCAAUGGGCGGGAGCCUGAACCAGCCAAGUAGCGUGAAGGAUGACGGCCCUACGGGUUGUAAACUUCUUUUAUAAGGGAAUAAAGUUCGCCACGUGUGGUGUUUUGUAUGUACCUUAUGAAUAAGCAUCGGCUAAUUCCGUGCCAGCAGCCGCGGUAAUACGGAAGAUGCGAGCGUUAUCCGGAUUUAUUGGGUUUAAAGGGAGCGUAGGCGGGCUUUUAAGUCAGCGGUCAAAUGUCACGGCUCAACCGUGGCCAGCCGUUGAAACUGUAAGCCUUGAGUCUGCACAGGGCACAUGGAAUUCGUGGUGUAGCGGUGAAAUGCUUAGAUAUCACGAAGAACUCCGAUUG
RNAcentral lists this ribosomal RNA (695 nucleotides) under uncultured Bacteroidota bacterium. Its description in RNAcentral is "bacterial SSU rRNA". It matches the Rfam family "Bacterial small subunit ribosomal RNA", at positions 32 to 715 of the family's 1533-position model. The record is from RNAcentral. Lineage: Bacteria; Pseudomonadati; Bacteroidota.